RNAcentral lists this ribosomal RNA (468 nucleotides) under uncultured bacterium. Its description in RNAcentral is "partial 16S ribosomal RNA". It matches the Rfam family "Bacterial small subunit ribosomal RNA", at positions 28 to 507 of the family's 1533-position model. The record is from RNAcentral.
GACGAACGCUGGCGGCGUGCUUAACACAUGCAAGUCGAACGGAAAGGCCCUGCUUUUGUGGGGUGCUCGAGUGGCGAACGGGUGAGUAACCCGUGAGUAACCUGCCCUUGACUUGGGGAUAACUUCAGGAAACUGGGGCUACUACCGGCGAGGAGCUCCUGCUGCAGGGUGGGGGUUGGAAAGUUUCGGCGGUUGGGGGUGGACUCGCGGCUUAUCAGCUGGUUGGUGGGGUAGUGGCUUACCAAGGCUUUGACGGGUGGCCGGCCUGAGAGGGUGAACGGCGACAUUGGGACUGAGAUACGGCCCAGACGCCAACGGGAGGCAGCAGUGGGGAAUAUUGUACAAUGGGCGGAAGCCUGAUGCAGAAGCGCCGCGUUCGGGAUGCCGGCCUUCGGGUUGUAAACCGCUGUCGCCUGUGACGAAGCGUGAGUGACGGUAAUGGGUAAAGAAGCACCGGCUAACUACGUG